ACGCUCGACACCUACGGGAGGCAGCAGGUGGGGAAUAUUGCACAAGUGGGGGAAACCCUGAUGCAGCGACGCCGCGUGAGUGAAGAAGUAUUUCGGUAUGUAAAGCUCUAUCAGCAGGGAANAAAUGACGGUACCUGACUAAGAACGCCCCGGCUAACUACGUACCAGCAGCCGCGGUAAUCUGAGCGGGCUGGCAAGGC
Molecule: ribosomal RNA, 200 nt
Filed under: uncultured bacterium
Lineage: Bacteria
Description: partial 16S ribosomal RNA
Rfam family: Bacterial small subunit ribosomal RNA
Source: RNAcentral